This is a non-coding RNA of Brachypodium distachyon (stiff brome), 125 nucleotides long. The record is from Rfam. NCBI's taxonomy places the organism in Eukaryota, Viridiplantae, Streptophyta, Magnoliopsida, Poales, Poaceae.
AUUGUACUCCCUCCGUUCCAUAAUUCUUGUCGAAAUAUUACAUGUAUCUAGACGCUUUUUAGGAAUAGGUACAUCCAUUUUGGGGCAAAUUUGAGACAAGAAUUGUGGAACGGAAGGAGUAACAU